AUUGAACGCUGGCGGCAGGCCUAACACAUGCGAGUCGAGCGGAUGAAGGGAGCUUGCUCCUGGAUUCAGCGGCGGACGGGUGAGUAAUGCCUAGGAAUCUGCCUGGUAGUGGGGGAUAACGUCCGGAAACGCGCGCUAAUACCGCAUACGUCCUGAGGGAGAAAGUGGGGGAUCUUCGGACCUCACGCUAUCAGAUGAGCCUAGGUCGGAUUAGCUAGUUGGUGGGGUAAAGGCCUACCAAGGCGACGAUCCGUAACUGGUCUGAGAGGAUGAUCAGUCACACUGGAACUGAGACACGGUCCAGACUCCUACGGGAGGCAGCAGUGGGGAAUAUUGGACAAUGGGCGAAAGCCUGAUCCAGCCAUGCUGCGUGUGUGAAGAAGGUCUUCGGAUUGUAAAGCACUUUAAGUUGGGAGGAAGGGCAGUAAGUUAAUACCUUGCUGUUUUGACGUUACCAACAGAAUAAGCACCGGCUAACUUCGUG
Molecule: ribosomal RNA, 484 nt
Filed under: uncultured bacterium
Lineage: Bacteria
Description: partial 16S ribosomal RNA
Rfam family: Bacterial small subunit ribosomal RNA
Source: RNAcentral